RNAcentral lists this ribosomal RNA (468 nucleotides) under uncultured bacterium. Its description in RNAcentral is "partial 16S ribosomal RNA". It matches the Rfam family "Bacterial small subunit ribosomal RNA", at positions 28 to 507 of the family's 1533-position model. The record is from RNAcentral.
GACGAACGCUGGCGGCGUGCUUAACACAUGCAAGUCGAACGGAAAGGCCCUGCUUUUGUGGGGUGCUCGAGUGGCGAACGGGUGAGUAACACGUGAGUAACCUGCCCUUGACUUUGGGAUAACUUCAGGAAACUGGGGCUAAUACCGGAUAGGAGCUCCUGCUGCAUGGUGGGGGUUGGAAAGUUUCGGCGGUUGGGGAUGGACUCGCGGCUUAUCAGCUUGUUGGUGGGGUAGUGGCUUACCAAGGCUUUGACGGGUAGCCGGCCUGAGAGGGUGACCGGCCACAUGGGGACUGAGAUACGGCCCGGACUCCUACGGGGGGCAGCGGGGGGGAUUAGUGCACAGGGGGCGGAGGCCUGAUGCAGCACCGCCGCGUGGGGAAUGACGCCCUUGGGGUUGAAAACCGCUUUCGCCUGUAACGAAGGGGGAGGGAGGGUAAUGGAUAAAAAAGCCCCGGCUAACUACGGG